CAUUGAGGGUCGUCAUAGACGAUGACGUUGAUAGGGUGCAGGUGUAAAGACGGUGACGUCAAAGCCGAGCACUACUAAUUGCCCGAACUCUUUCGC
RNAcentral lists this ribosomal RNA (96 nucleotides) under Xylanibacter ruminicola. RNAcentral's name for it is "Prevotella ruminicola 23S rRNA. Bacterial LSU". It matches the Rfam family "Bacterial large subunit ribosomal RNA", at positions 2826 to 2925 of the family's 2925-position model. The record is from RNAcentral. Lineage: Bacteria; Pseudomonadati; Bacteroidota; Bacteroidia; Bacteroidales; Prevotellaceae.